Molecule: ribosomal RNA, 440 nt
Filed under: uncultured bacterium
Lineage: Bacteria
Description: partial 16S ribosomal RNA
Rfam family: Bacterial small subunit ribosomal RNA
Source: RNAcentral
CCUACGGGGGGCAGUAGUGGGGGAUAUUGCACAAUGGGGGAAACCCUGAUGCAGCGACGCCGCGUGUGGGAAGACGGUCUUCUGGAUUGUAAACCACUGUCCCCAGGGACGAAAAUGACGGUACCUGGGGAGGAAGCUCCGGCUAACUACGUGCCAGCAGCCGCGGUAAUACGUAGGGAGCAAGCGUUGUCCGGAAUUACUGGGUGUAAAGGGAGCGUAGGCGGGGAUGCAAGUUGGGUGUCAAAACUACCGGCUCAACCGAUAGUCGCACUCAAAACUGCAACUCUUGAGUGAAGUAGAGGCAGGCGGAAUUCCUAGUGUAGCGGUGAAAUGCGUAGAUAUUAGGAGGAACACCAGUGGCGAAGGCGGCCUGCUGGGCUUUUACUGACGCUGAGGCUCGAAAGUGUGGGGAGCAAACAGGAUUAGAUACCCUUGUAGUC